Molecule: unclassified non-coding RNA, 101 nt
Organism: Cercocebus atys (sooty mangabey)
Lineage: Eukaryota; Metazoa; Chordata; Mammalia; Primates; Cercopithecidae
Rfam family: Y RNA
About the family: Y RNAs are components of the Ro ribonucleoprotein particle (Ro RNP), in association with Ro60 and La proteins. The Y RNAs and Ro60 and La proteins are well conserved, but the function of the Ro RNP is not known.
Source: Ensembl
GGCUGGUUCGAGUGCAGUGAUAUUUAAAACUAAUUGACACAACCAGAUACAGAUUUAUUUGUUCCUUCUCCACUCCCACUGCUUCACUUGACUAGCCGUAA